RNAcentral lists this transfer RNA (87 nucleotides) under Planctomycetia bacterium. RNAcentral's name for it is "tRNA-Ser". It matches the Rfam family "tRNA". Rfam says of the family: Transfer RNA (tRNA) molecules are approximately 80 nucleotides in length. Their secondary structure includes four short double-helical elements and three loops (D, anti-codon, and T loops). Further hydrogen bonds mediate the characteristic L-shaped molecular structure. tRNAs have two regions of fundamental functional importance: the anti-codon, which is responsible for specific mRNA codon recognition, and the 3' end, to which the tRNAs corresponding amino acid is attached (by aminoacyl-tRNA synthetases). tRNAs cope with the degeneracy of the genetic code in two manners: having more than one tRNA (with a specific anti-codon) for a particular amino acid; and 'wobble' base-pairing, i.e. permitting non-standard base-pairing at the 3rd anti-codon position. Lineage: Bacteria; Pseudomonadati; Planctomycetota; Planctomycetia. The record is from RNAcentral.
GGAGAGGUGGCAGAGUGGUCGAAUGCGCGGGUUUGCUACACCCGUGAGCUCGUAAGGGCUCCGCAGGUUCAAAUCCUGUCCUCUCCG